GAGGGUUAAGGAUAGAGGAAGCAAAUGCUUGUUCAACUUAAGUACUCUGUUAACCUUUUCUUUUUUUGCUGGAGCAGAGACCCUUCCCUCUUCAGGCCCCACAUUAUAAAUUUGUCUUGCCAACUACUUGCUGUAAUCUGACUCUAGUUUUAAUGAAAAUGGAGAGUGGAUAUGCAAUUUCACUGAAUCACCCUUGCAAUCCUUUUCCCCUGCCAGAAAUUCCAGUUUCCCCCCUAAGUAGGGGGCUGAGAACUGGGGGGAUUCUGAAAACCAUUCAAGGCCUCAGUCGCAGGUCACAUGCUCUCUCCACAGAGACCUUCACUCAGAAAGAACAGCUUGUUACCACAGAGAGAAAAGGCUUGGUCCCAGUUGAUGGCAUCUGUGUCAAGCAACAGUCUCCGGUAUGCAUCAAGAUCCCGAUAAAAUGCUGCAUAUAUAUUGUUAAAAGAAUCCGAAGUGUCAGAAACAGUCUAAAAGAGAGACAUACAGUUUAACAGAAAUAACAGCCUGCUACCGCAGAGAGCAAAGGUUUGGUCCCAGUUGAUGGCAUCUGUGUCUAGCAACAGUUUCCGGUACACAUCAAGAUCCCGAUAAAAUGCUGCAUAUAUGUUGCUCAAGAAAUCCGCAUUGUCUGAAACAGCCUAAAAGAGAGACAUACAAUUGAACAGUGGGAUGUGAUCCGGAUGAUCCAGAGUACUGUAAUCGGCCGAUUCUCCGAAUGAAAAAGAGGCGAGUCUGCUUCCAUAGAACGGGAGAUGAGUGCUUGCUUCAGGGGAAGCUUCUGCCGGCUGCAAGCCUCUCCCACCAGGUGGUGCUGAAGGAGAUCGCGGAGGAGCAGGGAUCGAGGGAGCUGUAAGGGAGA
Podarcis raffonei (Aeolian wall lizard) is the source of this 862-nucleotide long non-coding RNA. RefSeq lists it as uncharacterized. Lineage: Eukaryota; Metazoa; Chordata; Lepidosauria; Squamata; Lacertidae. The record is from RefSeq and is a predicted model, not a curated record. The transcript is spliced from 4 exons.